Molecule: ribosomal RNA, 523 nt
Filed under: Microtrichalus sp. A00446
Lineage: Eukaryota; Metazoa; Arthropoda; Insecta; Coleoptera; Lycidae
Description: partial 28S ribosomal RNA
Rfam family: Eukaryotic large subunit ribosomal RNA
Source: RNAcentral
AGUCAUUGGGACUAGCGAAACCUAAAGGCGAAAUGAAAGUGAAGGUCGGCCUUGCGCCAACCGAGGGAGGAUGGGUCGCGUCACGUCGCGACCCCGCACUCCCGGGGCGUCUCGUUCUCAUCGCGAGAAGAGGCGCACCCAGAGCGUACACGCUGGGACCCGAAAGAUGGUGAACUAUGCCUGGUCAGGACGAAGUCAGGGGAAACCCUGAUGGAGGUCCGAAGCGAUUCUGACGUGCAAAUCGAUCGUCGGAACUGGGUAUAGGGGCGAAAGACUAAUCGAACCAUCUAGUAGCUGGUUCCCUCCGAAGUUUCCCUCAGGAUAGCUGGCGCUCGCUUUUGCGAGUCUCAUCUGGUAAAGCGAAUGAUUAAAGGCAUUGGGGUCGAAACGGCCUCAACCUAUUCUCAAACUUUAAAUGGGUGAGAUCUCCGGCUUGCUUGAACAGUGAAGCCGCGAGAUCGGAUCAGAGUGCCAAGUGGGCCAUUUUUGGUAAGCAGAACUGGCGCUGUGGGAUGAACCAAAC